This 305-nucleotide ribosomal RNA is filed under the name uncultured bacterium. RNAcentral's name for it is "bacterial SSU rRNA". It matches the Rfam family "Bacterial small subunit ribosomal RNA", at positions 338 to 660 of the family's 1533-position model. The record is from RNAcentral.
CCUACGGGGGGCAGCAGUGGGGAAUAUUGCACAAUGGGGGAAACCCUGAUGCAGCGACGCCGCGUGAAGGAUGAAGUAUUUCGGUAUGUAAACUUCUAUCAGCAGGGAAGAAAAUGACGGUACCUGACUAAGAAGCCCCGGCUAACUACGUGCCAGCAGCCGCGGUAAUACGUAGGGGGCAAGCGUUAUCCGGAUUUACUGGGUGUAAAGGGAGCGUAGACGGCAUGGCAAGUCUGAUGUGAAAACCCGGGGCUCAACCCCGGGACUGCAUUGGAAACUGUCAGGCUAGAGUGUCGGAGAGGCAA